ACAUGCCUACAACAUAGUGUUAAUGCAUCGUAUCCCAUUAGAACUCUGCAGUUAAGCGCACUUAGGCUAGAGUAUUACUGGGAUGGGUAACCACCCAAGAAGUCCUAGUGUUUUACAUGCC
Non-coding RNA from Picea glauca (white spruce), 121 nucleotides. NCBI's taxonomy places the organism in Eukaryota, Viridiplantae, Streptophyta, Pinopsida, Pinales, Pinaceae. The record is from Rfam.